AAUAGAUACCCGGGUAGUCCACGCCGUAAACGAUGAGUGCUAAGUGUUAGAGGGUUUCCGCCCUUUAGUGCUGCAGCUAACGCAUUAAGCACUCCGCCUGGGGAGUACGGUCGCAAGACUGAAACUCAAAGGAAUUGACGGGGGCCCGCACAAGCGGUGGAGCAUGUGGUUUAAUUCGAAGCAACGCGAAGAACCUUACCAGGUCUUGACAUCCUCUGACAACUCUAGAGAUAGAGCGUUCCCCUUCGGGGGACAGAGUGACAGGUGGUGCGUGGUUGUCGUCAGCUCGUGUCGUGAGAUGUUGGGUUAAGUCCCGCAACGAGCGCAACCCUUGAUCUUAGUUGCCAGCAUUCAGUUGGGCACUCUAAGGUGGCUGCCGGUGACAAACCGGAGGGAGGUGGGGAUGACGUCAAAUCAUCAUGCCCCUUAUGACCUGGGCUACACACGUGCUACAAUGGAUGGUACAAAGGGCUGCAAGACCGCGAGGUCAAGCCAAUCCCAUAAAACCAUUCUCAGUUCGGAUUGUAGG
RNAcentral lists this ribosomal RNA (529 nucleotides) under uncultured bacterium. RNAcentral's name for it is "bacterial SSU rRNA". It matches the Rfam family "Bacterial small subunit ribosomal RNA", at positions 777 to 1304 of the family's 1533-position model. The record is from RNAcentral.